RNAcentral lists this small nuclear RNA (100 nucleotides) under Nannospalax galili (Upper Galilee mountains blind mole rat). Lineage: Eukaryota; Metazoa; Chordata; Mammalia; Rodentia; Spalacidae. The record is from RNAcentral.
ACUUUAGCACUAUGUACACUCGAAAACUGAAAUUAUACAAAGAUCUGCAUGGCCGAUAUGCAAAGAUGAUAUGAAAAUUCAUGAAGCAUUCCAUAUUUUG